This 495-nucleotide ribosomal RNA is filed under the name uncultured bacterium. RNAcentral's name for it is "partial 16S ribosomal RNA". It matches the Rfam family "Bacterial small subunit ribosomal RNA", at positions 28 to 507 of the family's 1533-position model. The record is from RNAcentral.
GACGAACGCUGGCGGCGUGCCUAAUACAUGCAAGUCGAACGCUGAAGGAGGAGCUUGCUUCUCUGGAUGAGUUGCGAACGGGUGAGUAACGCGUAGGUAACCUGCCUGGUAGCGGGGGAUAACUAUUGGAAACGAUAGCUAAUACCGCAUAAUAGCAGUUGUUGCAUGACAACUGUUUGAAAGGUGCAAUUGCACCACUACCAGAUGGACCUGCGUUGUAUUAGCUAGUUGGUGGGGUAACGGCUCACCAAGGCGACGAUACAUAGCCGACCUGAGAGGGUGAUCGGCCACACUGGGACUGAGACACGGCCCAGACUCCUACGGGAGGCAGCAGUAGGGAAUCUUCGGCAAUGGACGGAAGUCUGACCGAGCAACGCCGCGUGAGUGAAGAAGGUUUUCGGAUCGUAAAGCUCUGUUGUAAGAGAAGAACGAGUGUGAGAGUGGAAAGUUCACACUGUGACGGUAUCUUACCAGAAAGGGACGGCUAACUACGUG